AAACCAACAGGGAUUGCCUCAGUAACGGCGAGUGAAGCGGCAAAAGCUCAAAUUUGAAAUCUAGCACCUUCGGUGUUCGAGUUGUAAUUUGAAGAUGGUAACCUUGGGUUUGGCUCUUGUCUAUGUUCCUUGGAACAGGACGUCAUAGAGGGUGAGAAUCCCGUCUGAUGAGAUGCCCAUUCCUAUGUAAGGUGCUAUCGAAGAGUCGAGUUGUUUGGGAAUGCAGCUCUAAGUGGGUGGUAAAUUCCAUCUAAAGCUAAAUAUUGGCGAGAGACCGAUAGCGAACAAGUACAGUGAUGGAAAGAUGAAAAGAACUUUGNAAAGAGAGUGAAAAAGUACGUGAAAUUGUUGAAAGGGAAGGGCAUUAGAUCAGACUUGGUGUUUUACGAUUAUCUUCUCUUCUUGAGUUGUGCACUCGUAUUUCACUGGGCCAGCAUCGAUUCGGAUGGCAAGAUAAUGGCAGUUGAAUGUGGCUUCACUUCGGUGGAGUGUUAUAGCUUCUGCUGAUAUUGCCUGUCUGGAUCGAGGGCUGCGUCUUUUGACUAGGAUGCUGGCGUAAUGAUCUAAUGCCGCCCGUCUUGAAACACGGACCAAGGAGUCUAACGUCUAUGCGAGUGUUUGGGUGUAAAACCCGUACGCGUAAUGAAAGUGAACGUAGGUGAGA
This 664-nucleotide ribosomal RNA is filed under the name Hansenula anomala. RNAcentral describes it as "Wickerhamomyces anomalus partial 28S ribosomal RNA". It matches the Rfam family "Eukaryotic large subunit ribosomal RNA", at positions 62 to 740 of the family's 3401-position model. The record is from RNAcentral. Lineage: Eukaryota; Fungi; Ascomycota; Saccharomycetes; Phaffomycetales; Wickerhamomycetaceae.